Manacus vitellinus (golden-collared manakin) is the source of this 300-nucleotide long non-coding RNA. RefSeq lists it as uncharacterized. The transcript is spliced from 3 exons. Lineage: Eukaryota; Metazoa; Chordata; Aves; Passeriformes; Pipridae. The record is from RefSeq and is a predicted model, not a curated record.
AGGCUGUUUUGGGCAAAGCAGCAUUCCCUGACCCCAAGGGCAUCUGGAGCCAAGUGAUUCCUGUUGGAUUUGCUGCUGCCUGAACACCAAGACCUUCAUCAGCCCUGUGAAGACGUGGGAGUGGUGGAUCAGCCAUGAAGAUCCUGUACCUGCUCUUCCCCUUGCUCCUCCUGCUGGUCCAGGGUGCUGCAGGAAGUGUACAUCUAUGCAGACAUCAAAGGGGAAUCUGUGUUUUUGGGAGAUGCCCCCUGGGUACAAGACCCGUUGGGAGAUGUACAGCACAAACCCUGUGCUGCAGAC